CAGUAGCCGCGGUAAUACGAAGGGUGCAAGCGUUAAUCGGAAUUACUGGGCGUAAAGCGUGCGUAGGCGGUUUGUUAAGUCUGUUGUGAAAUCCCCGGGCUCAACAUGGGAAUGGCAAUGGAUACUGGCAAGCUAGAGUGUGUCAGAGGAUGGUGGAAUUCCCGGUGUAGCGGUGAAAUGCGUAGAGAUCGGGAGGAACAUCAGUGGCGAAGGCGGCCAUCUGGGACAACACUGACGCUGAGGCACGAAAGCGUGGGGAGCAAACAGGAUUAGAUACCCGCGUAGUCCCUGUCUCUUAUAC
This 301-nucleotide ribosomal RNA is filed under the name uncultured bacterium. RNAcentral's name for it is "partial 16S ribosomal RNA". It matches the Rfam family "Bacterial small subunit ribosomal RNA", at positions 509 to 807 of the family's 1533-position model. The record is from RNAcentral.